Molecule: non-coding RNA, 71 nt
Organism: Podarcis lilfordi (Lilford's wall lizard)
Lineage: Eukaryota; Metazoa; Chordata; Lepidosauria; Squamata; Lacertidae
Source: the annotation of a GenBank genome assembly
GGGUCUUGGCUCAGUGGUAGAGCAUCUGCUUUGUACACAGAAUGUCCCAGGUUCAGUCCCAAGCAACUCCA